RNAcentral lists this small RNA (1031 nucleotides) under Pan troglodytes (chimpanzee). RNAcentral's name for it is "retained intron". Lineage: Eukaryota; Metazoa; Chordata; Mammalia; Primates; Hominidae. The record is from RNAcentral.
AGAACCCCGCGGGGUCUGAGCAGCCCGGCGUGCCCAUUCCAGCGCCCCCGUCCCCGCAGCAUGCCGCGCCCCCGCCUGCUGGCCGCGCUGUGCGGCGCGCUGCUCUGCGCCCCCAGCCUCCUCGUCGCCCUGGAAUGUGUCGAGCCACUGGGCAUGGAGAAUGGGAACAUUGCCAACUCACAGAUCGCCGCCUCAUCUGUGCGUGUGACCUUCUUGGGUUUGCAGCAUUGGGUCCCGGAGCUGGCCCGCCUGAACCGUGCAGGCAUGGUCAAUGCCUGGACACCCAGCAGCAAUGACGAUAACCCCUGGAUCCAGGUGAACCUGCUGCGGAGGAUGUGGGUAACAGGUGUGGUGACGCAGGGUGCCAGCCGCUUGGCCAGUCAUGAGUACCUGAAGGCCUUCAAGGUGGCCUACAGCCUUAAUGGACACGAAUUCGAUUUCAUCCAUGAUGUUAAUAAAAAACACAAGGUAGGUCUUGUUGGGGCCCGAAAGAAGGGCUGUGGUCCAUACCCCCUAAGGUUCUAGCAUUGACUGAGGACCCCCAGCGAGUCCAGAGAACCCUAGGUGAUUGGCUAUGAUGUGGGUCUUCGGGUGCAUCUUGGCUUCUAAAAAUUGGGAAACCCAGACUGUGUCCAUGUUCUGUGGUUUAUAAGCAAUAGUCCUACUUUAGAGAUGAGACUAGUGAGAUUCAAAAUGGUACAGUGACCUGUUGAGGGUGAUAGUGGUGGUGGAGCUGGGUUUCAUUCUGAGCCUUCAGGGGUACAUGUACAGUUGUGUAGGUUGUCCACUGCUCAAGGAUGUCAUUGCUAAGCAGGCACCAUUCACAGUACAGGCAUUGUACAUUUGUGGAACUCUGUCAGAAAAUUGUCAUAAUAAACUAUUUGAGAAAGGAGUGCCUUUUCCUAAUUUGCAAAGAGAUACCCUGUAGGUUACAGGUGGCCCUGUGUCAGCUAUAGGGGUUUAUGCCCAGGCUCCAUGAUGAUUAAGGAAAGUGAGAGGAGAAUCUUUGUGGAGGGCCAUGGGGUGGCCAA